This 69-nucleotide transfer RNA is filed under the name Rattus norvegicus (Norway rat). It matches the Rfam family "tRNA". From Rfam's summary of the family: Transfer RNA (tRNA) molecules are approximately 80 nucleotides in length. Lineage: Eukaryota; Metazoa; Chordata; Mammalia; Rodentia; Muridae. The record is from Rfam by way of RNAcentral.
GGGGAUUUAGCUCAGUGGUAGAGCACUUGCCUAGCACGCACAAGGCCCUGGGUUCGGUCCCCAGCUCCA